This 66-nucleotide ribosomal RNA is filed under the name Arothron hispidus (white-spotted puffer). Its description in RNAcentral is "partial 16S rRNA". The record is from RNAcentral. Lineage: Eukaryota; Metazoa; Chordata; Actinopteri; Tetraodontiformes; Tetraodontidae.
CACCCAGCAGCUAGCCCCACCCCCAAACACAAAACACAACUAUUAAUACCCCCUAACACACUUAAC